AUCAGCGUUACAGUAGACACAGUCAUAGAAAUAAUUUUUCAUUGUUGUGUGUUUUUUUGUUGUUUAGCCCCACCUGUUUCCGUAUCUCGGCCUCUUCAUAAGGGAUAUCGGCUGCUUCACAUUCAGAUCAUUUCAAUUUGUUAAGCUGCGCUCUCACACACAGAAUAUUUCACCUCCACAUCCAACACCGACGUUGCGUUUGUUCCAGAUGGAGGUCUCCAGGAUGCGGUCCGCCUGGGCGGCUCUCUGCACCGCCGUGCUAGUGAUGUCAGGCUCUGCUGAAGGUGCUAGUUUGGUGACGUUAAAAGCGGCGAACACAGAACCAUCAUACUCUUAUGACUUAACCAUGGACGUCACCAACCGCAUCUACAGUGAUUCUCUCCUCAACCCUAACUCUCACGACUAUAAUAUGAUGUUUGGGGAAGUUAGCAGUGCGCUCUACUCUGUCUACGGCUGCCCCACUUGCGACACACGCACAUUUUAUCAAGGUGUAACAGCCAUGACCUUCAGUGACAAGGCUGGAUCUGUGGUUGUUCAGGCCACCAUCAUGUUCUACUCAGACCAAACCAAUGCCAUGGUGAUCAAGUACCUAUUUCUGCAGGCCGUCAAUAGCAGAAAUGAAAUAAAUGGCCUGAGAAUCAACCCUGGAUUCACACAGGUGUCUUCACAAUCCACAAGCGUUUCCCAUCCAACCACCACUCCAACCACCACUCCAACCACCACUCCAACCACUACCCCAACCACUACUCCAACCACCACUCCAACCACUACUCGUCUAAUAACAUGUGACCCAUAUUUAAGCAAUCAUGAUAUCAUUCAGAUAAUUAUGUCAUGUUUUAUCACUCCAACCCCUACUCCAACCACUACUCCAACUACUAUUCUAACUACUCGUACCACCACUCCUACAACAACUACAACCACUACUCUAGUCUAUUAAAACAGGGUGAACCCAUUCCUUUAACCGAUCUCCUGCCAUUACUAAAACUACUUAAUCAGAUUGUUUAAAAAAGAAAAAGAAAAAAAGAAACAGAUUGCAUGUAGUUAAUCAUAUGACAUGAUAUUAAAUUCAUAUUAAAACAGACGACACAUGAAACCCUUGAAAGGCUCGAUUAAAGUAUAAUAUUCUAUCUGUAAAGAGCACCUUUUUUCACACCUCCUGUGUUCAAACACCAUCUGAGUCACCGUCCAAUGGGCAAUCUGUAUUUUCUCUCCCAUUACCAUGGUAGAAAUGGGAUUUAGAAAUGUUCUGUUUUCUGAAGUCUAUACUUCAUAGCCUACCCAUUAACCUCCUACAACUACUUCACCUCUCAAUCACAAUACAUUUACAGAGUGGGAAUGAAAUAGUCCCUGCCCACAAGAUGUCAUGUGCCCACAUGUCAAAAGGACAAUGUUAAAAUCACUUUUGUUUGUUCAGAAAUGACUUAAAUAUCUGAUAAUCACCUGACAUCUUAAGAGCAUGUGUUUGUUACUCCUUAACAAACUUUUAACAUCGAUCAUUGCUCUUGUAUUUCUUAUAUGAUUCAAGAACCUAUGUUGUAAACCUGCCUUCACAAUUUUUACAUCAUUCUUCCUCUAUUCAGUAUCUUUCUUCUUUCUUUUUUCUUUUCAUUAAUGUCAUUUUCAGUUAAUCAUUAGAGGAAUAGAUGCAGAUUUGUCUACAAUGUCUCAAUGCCUGUUGUAAACAGCACAAAACUAAUAAAAUGGGAUUAUACAAGCUUGAAAUUUUUCCUCCCAGG
Long non-coding RNA from Ictalurus punctatus (channel catfish), 1736 nucleotides. NCBI's taxonomy places the organism in Eukaryota, Metazoa, Chordata, Actinopteri, Siluriformes, Ictaluridae. The record is from Ensembl.